GAGGGUAUAGCUCAAGUGGUAGUGUGCAUGCCUGGCAUGCACAAGGUCUUGGGUUCAAUCCCCAGUACCUCCU
This 73-nucleotide transfer RNA is filed under the name Camelus bactrianus (Bactrian camel). It matches the Rfam family "tRNA". Rfam says of the family: Transfer RNA (tRNA) molecules are approximately 80 nucleotides in length. Their secondary structure includes four short double-helical elements and three loops (D, anti-codon, and T loops). Further hydrogen bonds mediate the characteristic L-shaped molecular structure. tRNAs have two regions of fundamental functional importance: the anti-codon, which is responsible for specific mRNA codon recognition, and the 3' end, to which the tRNAs corresponding amino acid is attached (by aminoacyl-tRNA synthetases). tRNAs cope with the degeneracy of the genetic code in two manners: having more than one tRNA (with a specific anti-codon) for a particular amino acid; and 'wobble' base-pairing, i.e. permitting non-standard base-pairing at the 3rd anti-codon position. The record is from Rfam by way of RNAcentral. Lineage: Eukaryota; Metazoa; Chordata; Mammalia; Artiodactyla; Camelidae. RNAcentral also lists the same sequence under 2 other names.